GAUGAACGCUGGCGGCGUGCCUAAUACAUGCCAGUCGAGCGAACGGACGAGAAGCUUGCUUCUCUGAUGUUAGCGGCGGACGGGUGAGUAACACGUGGAUAACCUACCUAUAAGACUGGGAUAACUUCGGGAAACCGGAGCUAAUACCGGAUAAUAUUUUGAACCGCAUGGUUCAAAAGUGAAAGACGGUCUUGCUGUCACUUAUAGAUGGAUCAGCGCUGCAUUAGCUAGUUGGUAAGGUAACGGCUUACCAAGGCAACGAUGCAUAGCCGACCUGAGAGGGUGAUCGGCCACACUGGAACUGAGACACGGUCCAGACUCCUACGGGAGGCAGCAGUAGGGAAUCUUCCGCAAUGGGCGAAAGCCUGACGGAGCAACGCCGCGUGAGUGAUGAAGGUCUUCGGAUCGUAAAACUCUGUUAUUAGGGAAGAACAUAUGUGUAAGUAACUGUGCACAUCUUGACGGUACCUAAUCAGAAAGCCACGGCUAACUACGUG
RNAcentral lists this ribosomal RNA (497 nucleotides) under uncultured bacterium. Its description in RNAcentral is "partial 16S ribosomal RNA". It matches the Rfam family "Bacterial small subunit ribosomal RNA", at positions 28 to 507 of the family's 1533-position model. The record is from RNAcentral.